RNAcentral lists this ribosomal RNA (292 nucleotides) under uncultured bacterium. RNAcentral's name for it is "partial 16S ribosomal RNA". It matches the Rfam family "Bacterial small subunit ribosomal RNA", at positions 505 to 796 of the family's 1533-position model. The record is from RNAcentral.
GUGUCAGCAGCCGCGGUAAUACGGAGGAUGCAAGCGUUAUCCGGAAUUAUUGGGCGUAAAGCGUCCGUAGGUGGUUUAUCAAGUCUGCUGUCAAAGCGUGCGGCUUAACCGCAUAAGGGCAGUGGAAACUGAUGAACUAGAGUGCGAUAGGGGUAACAGGAAUUCCCAGUGUAGCGGUGAAAUGCGUAGAUAUUGGGAAGAACACCAGCGGCGAAAGCGUGUUACUGGGUCUGCACUGACACUGAGGGACGAAAGCUAGGGGAGCGAAAGGGAUUAGAAACCCUUGUAGUCC